GAAAACGUCUCUUCUCUCUCUCUCUCUCUCUCUCUCUCUGUAUCAAAUCCCUGAAACGAGCACUUGAUCUCUUCUCCCCCGUCCAUGGCCAAUUCCCUCCUCCUGAUGCCGAAGCCGAAGAAAAAUCAUUCAAAAGCAAAGCGGAAAGGAAGAUUACAAUCAAAAACUCACUUCCUUCACUCUAUUACAGAUUCUUCCUCUGUCAGCACGAUUCAUUUUGGCUCAAGCUCGAAUCAGGGUUUAGUGUGAUAAAAUCGAUUUCAGUGAGAAGAAUCUGGUGAGAGGAACCGUGGAGGAUUCGUAAGGAGGGAAAGCUGAAGAGUCGGAGGGUAGCUAGAAGGAGAUUGUUGAGUUGGAUAUGGCUUCUCCUUGCUUCUUUCUCUGUUGCAGGAUUGGUUCUAUUCAUGGUUCAGCAUCGUCAUCAACAACAAGAUCCAUCUCAGCUAACACUUGUAUGUCUUCCUCUCUGGUCUUAGUUCAAAGUUUUUUUUUAGUUUCUUAAAAGCAAUGUAUUGAUUGCUGAGAUUGAGUUUGGCUCUAAGUUCUAACGAUCAUCUGCUCAUGAAAAAAGUGUUGAUCUUUGUAGUUUGGGCUGACGAAAGAUUGGUGUCAUUGUAGCCUAAUAUUUUUUUUAAGCUGAAAAUGGUUUAUUAGGUUGAUCUCUCUGUAUCUAUGGAAUCAGUGCAAGUUGAACUCUUUCCACAACGGGCAUGACCAAAUCUUAGUGUAGUUUCUUAUUGACAUUGCUUGUGGGUUUGGGGUUUGAAUCGACGGAGAACAACGACGGUUGCUGCAUGUGUCUUGUUUGAAUCGAGAGGUAAAGCUAUGUUAAUUUGUUUUCUUGUUUGAAUCUUUCAAUUUUGCAUGUGUUAGAUUCGGAUAAACGAAAGCCUUAAUAACAUCACAUAAUCAAUUAAUAGAACUUGUAUUUGGAUAGAUGUUGUUGGAGCAAAAGGUUAGGAUCUCAGAUAAUUUCAGUUUGUAUUGUGAUUGUGAUUGUGAUUGUGUAGGAAGACUUGUAAAUCCAAGAGACAUGAGCCUUUGUUUAAGUUGAUUUGUUUGUUGGUUGGUGUAUUAGAAGUUGUUGUCAUGGGGUUAUUGUUCUGGUUAUCUUUAAGUUUGUGUUUCUUGUUUCAUGUUCUUGUUUCGUGAAAGAGUUAAUGUAUUACCAAAUCUUUUGUUUCUUGUUCUUGUUAUUUUUAAUGAUUGUAUGAUUGUGUAUUCACAAACUUGUAUAUUGUAUUGUUGUGGUCACGUUGAAAAUGUUUCACGGACAAGAAAUGAAAGACCUUUGUAAUGAUUGUAUGAUUGUGUAUUCACAAACUUGUAUAAAUAAUAUCUUGUAAUGAAAGUGUAUUCACAAGCCUUUGA
Long non-coding RNA from Brassica oleracea var. oleracea, 1371 nucleotides. RefSeq lists it as uncharacterized. The transcript is spliced from 2 exons. NCBI's taxonomy places the organism in Eukaryota, Viridiplantae, Streptophyta, Magnoliopsida, Brassicales, Brassicaceae. The record is from RefSeq and is a predicted model, not a curated record.